CCUACGGGAGGCAGCAGUAGGGAAUUUUCCACAAUGGGCGCAAGCCUGAUGGAGCAACACCGCGUGAGUGACGAAGGGUUUCGGCUCGUAAAGCUCUGUUGUUGGAGAAGAACGUGCGUGAGAGUAACUGUUCACGCAGUGACGGUAUCCAACCAGAAAGUCACGGCUAACUACGGGCCAGCAGCCGCGAUAAUACGUAGGUGGCAAGCGUUAUCCGGUUUUAUUGGGCGUAAAGCGAGCGCAGGCGGUUGCUUAGGUCUGAUGUGAAAGCCUUCGGCUUAACCGAAGAAGUGCAGCGGAAACCGGGCAACUUGAGUGCAGAAGAGGACAGUGGAACUCCAUGUGUAGCGGUGGAAUGCGUAGAUAUAUGGAAGAACACCAGUGGCGAAGGCGGCUGUCUGGUCUGCAACUGACGCUGAGGCUCGAAAGCAUGGGUAGCGAACAGGAUUAGAUACCCGGGUAGUC
Molecule: ribosomal RNA, 465 nt
Filed under: uncultured bacterium
Lineage: Bacteria
Description: partial 16S ribosomal RNA
Rfam family: Bacterial small subunit ribosomal RNA
Source: RNAcentral